AACUAUAGCAGUUACUUUUAGAGAAAACACAAACAUCCAGGCGGGCUGCCACAGCCGGCACCUAGCAGCUGACUUAGAACUGGUGCGGACCAGGGGAAUUCGACUGUUUAAUUCAAGCAAAGCCUCGCAAGGGGCCGCGGCGGGUGUUGACGUGAUGUGAUUUCUGCCCAGUGCUCUGAAUGUCAAAGUGAAGAAAUUCAAUGAAGCGCAGGUAAAGUGCGGGAGUAACUAUGACUCUCUUAACCCUUGUGCUAUCCUAGGCACUCUAACAUUGGGAGUUGGGUCAUCUAGACCCACUAGACAGUGCUCUGAACCUUUUUUCUUCAAUGAUUUGUGAACUUCACUCGUGUCCAUGGAUUACCUGAAAUCUUUCCACCUUUAUCCACCUUUGACUUUGUAGGGAGAACACGUCAAUGCAAGGGUGGGGUCAUCUAAGAUAGCCCAAGGGUUAAGGUAGCUAAAUGCCUUGUCAUCUAAUUAGUGACGCACAUGUAUAGAUGAACGAGAUUCCCACUU
Molecule: non-coding RNA, 516 nt
Filed under: Oryzias latipes (Japanese medaka)
Lineage: Eukaryota; Metazoa; Chordata; Actinopteri; Beloniformes; Adrianichthyidae
Description: Eukaryotic large subunit ribosomal RNA
Rfam family: Eukaryotic large subunit ribosomal RNA
Source: Rfam by way of RNAcentral